Long non-coding RNA from Ceratina calcarata, 1477 nucleotides. RefSeq lists it as uncharacterized. The record is from RefSeq and is a predicted model, not a curated record. The transcript is spliced from 4 exons. NCBI's taxonomy places the organism in Eukaryota, Metazoa, Arthropoda, Insecta, Hymenoptera, Apidae.
UGAAACCAGCCAAAAUUUUUAAGACCGUCGGCUACGAAGGAUGAAUACUCCUCCAUUCAUACCGGUGUUUACAGAGGAUGGAAUAACGUCAAGGGCGUACGCGACGCGUAUUACUCUGCGUCGCACGCUACCGCAAACUACCGUGUGGUUCAUUGCACUUCACUUCACAGUGUGUAAGAACAAUGAACGAUCUGGUAACGGUACGGCCCCCUCCUUCGUCCCUCCGUGACACCUUGCGGGCGCUGGGGUAGCAGUGCGUGACUACGUGACGACAACUUCUCGCGGUUAAUGGCAUCAAUCGACAAGUGUUACGCAAGUGUAGUGAGAGGGAUUAUCAAGUUUUUGAAGAAAAUAUCCGGUGAUUCUGAUAUCCAGCUUUCAAAUGAUCGACUGCUACUAAGACUCGUUUCGUCUUCCACUGUUCUCCGCCGUUUCGUCUCUCUUCCGUGCUGUGCCACGAGUUUCUUACACGAAUACGAAGAAAAUGGACGCGAAAUGUUCGCGGGACCGGAGGAAACCAGCCGAGAAUGGGAGUAUAGGAGAGUAGAGGGAAAUAGGACGCGCGGCUAAUGGAAUUCUCCGAUAUUCACGCUAUUAUCAGAUCUCGGAUCAUCAAGUCCAGGCCGCGGAGCAUUCGUUAUUCGUUUUGGGUGGACCGACAGGGAACGUCUUUUGUCGGCGCUAUUUGUAUACGAACCGGAACAAAAGCAGGGACGGUCAAACGCAAGCAACCUCGAUUAAUGAUACAGAAAAGCGAGUAAAAGGGAGCAGCUCCCAGCCACUGUUCGCUUGACAAGACUCUGGCCUCGCUCCUCUCGCCGGGGUUGGAGACGGGAAACGUAUUCAGAAGGCAAGCGCGAGCGACGGAGGAGACCGACGGUGUAUCCACCGACAAAUACGACGCAUCCCUCUUCGCCGCGGAAGAAAGACUGCGAUGCGAUGUACAUGCGACUACCCUUUACCGUGGGAGAUAGUCAAGGGGCGCUCCGCUUCGCCGGGGGAAACCGGUAACCGACAAAAACAAUAACCCCAACGACUCGAGCCUCGACGAGCAAACUCCGCUUAUCGGCUCUCGAUGAUAUCCGACCGUUUUUAUUCAACAGCGAACAGCUUAUACGAAGAUACAUCCUCUUCUUCGCCUCUCAUGAUCUUUAAUCAAGCCCCGCGACGGUAAAUUUCACGUGCCCAUGAAAGUACCAUUAACAGUAAGUUAAUGCGAAGUGUGUAUUACGUUCUCUAGUUUAUUGGGAUGGUAACGGCCACGCGCGAAACAUAAAAUCGUAUGCGUCCACACAGUGUUUGCUACAUUCGUGUUCCGUCGUUGCCAGUGCCCUGGAAGUGCGUUCAUUCACUUGAGCAUUCACUCCGAAUGGGCAUCGAACGAGUGCCGAUUUGUUCGCGCAGCAGCGCUCGUUCGGUGUUCAUUCAGUUUCGUUCGGGUUUGCUGCGACUAGUUUCCACACGAACACCGGAUUCU